Molecule: non-coding RNA, 45 nt
Organism: Dufourea novaeangliae
Lineage: Eukaryota; Metazoa; Arthropoda; Insecta; Hymenoptera; Halictidae
Source: Rfam
UAAUCGGCCCCUUUCGGGGCCACCAAUGUUCGUAAUGUAAGAACA